GAUGAACGCUGGCGGCGUGCCUAAUACAUGCAAGUCGAGCGAACAGACGAGGAGCUUGCUCCUCUGACGUAAGCGGCGGACGGGUGAGUAACACGUGGAUAACCUACCUAUAAGACUGGGAUAAAUUCGGGAAACCGGAGCUAAUACCGGAUAAUAUAUUGAACCGCAUGGUUCAAUAGUGAAAGACGGUUUUGAUGUCACUUAUAGAUGGAUCCGCGCCGCAUUAGCUAGUUGGUAAGGUAACGGCUUACCAAGGCAACGAUGCGUAGCCGACCUGAGAGGGUGAUCGGCCACACUGGAACUGAGACACGGUCCAGACUCCUACGGGAGGCAGCAGUAGGGAAUCUUCCGCAAUGGGCGAAAGCCUGACGGAGCAACGCCGCGUGAGUGAUGAAGGUCUUCUGAUCGUAAAACUCUGUUAUUAGGGAAGAACAAAUGUGUAAGUAACUAUGCACGUCUUGACGGUACCUAAUCAGAAAGCCACGGCUAACUACGUG
RNAcentral lists this ribosomal RNA (497 nucleotides) under uncultured bacterium. RNAcentral's name for it is "partial 16S ribosomal RNA". It matches the Rfam family "Bacterial small subunit ribosomal RNA", at positions 28 to 507 of the family's 1533-position model. The record is from RNAcentral.